RNAcentral lists this ribosomal RNA (484 nucleotides) under uncultured bacterium. RNAcentral describes it as "partial 16S ribosomal RNA". It matches the Rfam family "Bacterial small subunit ribosomal RNA", at positions 30 to 507 of the family's 1533-position model. The record is from RNAcentral.
AUUGAACGCUGGCGGCAGGCCUAACACAUGCAAGUCGAGCGGAUGAAGGGAGCUUGCUCCUGGAUUCAGCGGCGGACGGGUGAGUAAUGCCUAGGAAUCUGCCUGGUAGUGGGGGAUAACGUCCGGAAACGGGCGCUAAUGCCGCAUACGUCCUGAGGGAGAAAGUGGGGGAUCUUCGGACCUCACGCUAUCAGAUGAGCCUAGGUCGGAUUAGCUAGUUGGUGAGGUAAAGGCCUACCAAGGCGACGAUCCGUAACUGGUCUGAGAGGAUGAUCAGUCACACUGGAACUGAGACACGGUCCAGACUCCUACGGGAGGCAGCAGUGGGGAAUAUUGGACAAUGGGCGAAAGCCUGAUCCAGCCAUGCCGCGUGUGUGAAGAAGGUCUUCGGAUUGUAAAGCACUUUAAGUUGGGAGGAAGGGCAGUAAGUUAAUACCUUGCUGUUUUGACGUUACCAACAGAAUAAGCACCGGCUAACUUCGUG